UAGGGAAUCUUCCACAAUGGACGCAAGUCUGAUGGAGCAACGCCGCGUGAGUGAAGAAGGUUUUCGGACCGUAAAGCUCUGUUGUUGGUGAAGAAGGAUAGAGGUAGUAACUGGCCUUUAUUUGACGGUAAUCAACCAGAAAGUCACGGCUAACUACGUGCCAGCAGCCGCGGUAAUACGUAGGUGGCAAGCGUUGUCCGGAUUUAUUGGGCGUAAAGCGAGCGCAGGCGGAAGAAUAAGUCUGAUGUGAAAGCCCUCGGCUUAACCGAGGAAUUGCAUCGGAAACUGUUUUCUUGAGUGCAGAAGAGGAGAGUAGAACUCCAUGUGUAGCGGUGGAAUGCGUAGAUAUAUGGAAGAAUACCAGUGGCGAAGGCGGCUCUCUGGUCUGCAACUGACGCUGAGGCUCGAAAGCAUGGGUAGCGAACAGGAUUAGAUACCCUGGUAGUCCAUGCCGUAAACGAUGAGUGCUAAGUGUUGGGAGGCUUCCGCCUCUCAGUGCUGCAGCUAACGCAUUAAGCACUCCGCCUGGGGGAGUACGACCGCAAAGGUUGAA
This 553-nucleotide ribosomal RNA is filed under the name uncultured bacterium. RNAcentral's name for it is "partial 16S ribosomal RNA". It matches the Rfam family "Bacterial small subunit ribosomal RNA", at positions 355 to 898 of the family's 1533-position model. The record is from RNAcentral.